Molecule: long non-coding RNA, 350 nt
Filed under: Mytilus galloprovincialis (Mediterranean mussel)
Lineage: Eukaryota; Metazoa; Mollusca; Bivalvia; Mytilida; Mytilidae
Source: RNAcentral
UGGCCCGUGAAUAAUCUACUAGUAUACUGAUUAAACAUGUAUAUGGUAUUUCAAAUUGUUCUCUAUUUUUUUUUUCAUUUGUUUGUUUUUGCCGUAUUUAUUCUGUCUGCUAUAUUUUUUACUUCUAAUGUAAUAGCGUAUUUUCAACUCUUUUCAGUUUGGGAUUUUUUCAUCCUUUUAAUUUUAAAAAGACAAAUAAUUGUGAACACUUCACGGAAAAGUGAGGAUUGAUAUUUGGUUGCUUAACGUCCAGUUGCCAAUACUUCAUUCAUUUUUCUAAUGUUAAGAACUAUGCCAUUUAUCAAUAUUUCGAUUUGAGCGUUACUGAUGAGUCUUGUGUAGACGAAACG